GGGAGCCGCUCCUGGGCCCGGCUCUGGGCUGCAGCCGGGAUGGCUCUGCCCCCGGGGGCCCCUCCAGGCUGCCUCCUCGGCUGCGGGCAGGACGCCCAGCUUCUGAGUCCUUGGGACAGAGGGGGAAUUCUGGGUGGGCGGCACUGGGAACCAAGUCCUUCUGGUCGUGGCCUGGAAACUGCCCAGGUGACCGGGAAGAGGAAGGCUGUUCUCCCGCAGGCGGACCUGAGCUUUUCUCAACUAGGAUCGGCUCCUUGGCUUCUGCCUCUUAAAAAAAAGCCCAAGGUGAGGCACCUCCACUCCAAGCAGUUGCGGGAAGAACACAGGGCACCCUCUCCACCGAGCUCCGGGUCAAGGUGACAUCUUCCUGACAUUCUCCCCAGGGGAACUGCUGAGCGGGUGAGAUCUCUGAGACAAGGAUGGGGGCAUCCAAGCCAGACACCGAGGUUUGGCCUGCGGGUGCAAUGACGAGUUCUGCCGGCAGACGGUGCUAGAGGAACGCGAAAGACAAAAGAGGCCAGAAAGCGCCUUUGCUUUCCCGGUUUCCCUCCCUCCUAUCGAGCGCAGCAGCCAGCGAUGGUGCUGGGGUGGCCCCGCGUCUGCUCAGCAGCCCUGACGGGCCAGUUCAGCAGGUACUCAGGCCCCACUCUGUCCACCAGGCGACCCCUCUGCAGUAGACCAGCCCUGGGCUCCCGCACCUUCUGGCCAGUUGAGGGCCACUUCUGUGCGCCAGCCCGGGCCACGCCCUCCACGCUGUCUAGCCGGGGGCCAGGUAGGUUUUUCCGGCACCCUAGGACCUGGAAUCGUCCCCCUGUCCCAAGACUUCACCUGACUUUAUGUGUCACCCCAGAUCUCAGCACCGAGGCCCCCACCUUUGGGAGGAUAGGUGGAGGUGAGGGCGGCCCCUGAGAUGCUGAAACUGCGGGUCAUGAUUAGUCAAAUCCAUUCCACCUGCCCGCACUAAUCAAGGGCCUUUUAAGACUCGCACGUCCUCCAAGCACGAAGCCAGAACCAUAAAAUACCCGCCCGGGUUGUUCUCUAGGAAGCCGGACUCAGCGGCGUCUAGCUGGAGCUGAGCUGUUAGGACUGGAUGGACCGCUGACCCUCCCACUGGGCGUGGCCGCGAGUCCGCUCCCUGGAAGCUCCGCCCCCAGCUCGCGCGGUGAGCGCAGAGGCGGGGCUCGGGUCCACCGCGCCGACCGCGGUCCCGGCGCCUUGUCCGUCCCUUUCCCCGGGCUCCCCGCGCCCCACACCGCCUGCUGCUUGGUCUUCAUGCCCUGAGCACGCAGCCCGGUGCCCGCGGGGAGGCAGAUUCCAGAGCGCUCUCUGGGCUCCUUGCCUGGUUGCCUUGUGGAUGAACCCGCGCUUUGCCGCGAACCUGGCAUCUCAGUAGCUUGGCCUGCUGUUUGUAGGGGGCGGGGGGAAGGUUCCCUAACAAGAGCAAAACCAUUACAUGUAGCACUCGGAACCCCCUCACCGCCGAAUCCCCCACAGAUUGCUGACCACCAUAGGUCUGUCUUUGACUCCCUGCAGUGGUGAAUCUUCUAGAAAACUUUGGUCUAGCCCAGGCCUCCAUUUCCCAGAUCCCUGAAGGGACCCCAAAGCAGCCCCUCUUCCCGGUCACUCACUGCUGACCCGCAAACCUGGGAGGGGGACGGUGCUGAGAGGCCCCACUACAUCCUUUAGGGUCGCGCCUACAUCUGCGGAGACCGCUGCACAAGUCCAUAACCAGGAGGGCAACGCUGGACACUGACGUGGGAGGGACACGGGGCCAGAGACUCGAGGAGCCCAUGUCCGGACAACCCACACCUGACCCGGCCCAGAGGGACACGAUGCCUGUGGGCGCGAUGCAGGCUAAUAGCUCGGCCCCUGAGCCGACACGCCCCAAACGUGCCUCCUGGUAAGGGACCAUCAUCGUCACGCGAGCAUCAUCACUGAUAAACACCGCCCAAUGCCUCAGAACACCAGGCUGAGAUCUUUCCACACUAGAGGGCGCCAGAGACCGCGGGGUCGCACCCGGGCUCCCGGGGUUGCCGCACAGAGUCUGUCCGCCAGGGGGCGCGAGCGCUGGCCAUGGGCUGGCUCUUCCGGUUAGCUGUGAUGGGCAGAGAAGGGUCUGGUCCCAAGGCGACUGUGUGAUGGGCUCUGAAGGCUAGGGGUGCUUCUCAUCCCAGAGGGCUCAGAAAGUUAGGAGUCAAGAAACAAAGGCUUUGGUGCAUGAACUGAUGAAUGAUCAGCAAACAAUGUUAAAAAAAUAAGGUAGAUUAGAUUUGAAGAUUAUGCAGUAUUAGGGACAUACUUACACCAAAAAAUUAUUCACUGGGCAUUCUGUGUUUUAUCUGCCAUCCUACUCAUGAGAGGUGAACAAAAGAGAACUGCGAGGACACUUUUCUUUGCUCCUUGUUGUGUAUGCAUUUGUAUUUAUCAACCAAGUUCUUUUCUUCUCAGUAUUGCUUUAUGUAGUUGUCAGAGAUUAGCAGAAUGUUCAGUGGAACUGUGAGUGGAUCUGAGGAUGAAUUAACACAAUUGGCUGUGAUUAUAAUGAUUGCCGGGAGAAAUAUUAAUAAUCUCAGAUAUGCAGAUGUCACCACCCUUAUGGCAGAAAGUGAAGAGGAACUAAAAAGCCUCUUGAUGAAAGUGAAAGAGGAGAGUGAAAAAGUUGGCUUAAAGCUCAACAUUCAGAAAACUAAGAUCAUGGCAUCUGGUCCCAUCACUUCAUGGCAAAUAGAUGGGAAAACAGUGGAAACAGUGUCAGACUUUAUUUUUGGGGGCUCCAAAAUCACUGCAGAUGGUGACUGCAGCCAUGAAAUUAAAAGAUGCUUACUGCUUGGAAGGAAAGUUAUGACCAACCUAGAUAGCACAUUAAAAAGCAGAGACGUUACUUUGUCAACAAAGGUCCAUCUAGUCAAGGCUAUGGUUUUUCCAGUAGUCAUGUAUGGAUGUGAGAGUUGGACGGUGAAGAAAGCUGAGCGCCGAAAAAUUGAUGCUUUUGAACUGUGGUGUUGGAAAAGACUCUUGAGAGUCCCUUGGACUGCAAGGAGAUCCAAUCAGUCCAUCCUAAAGCAGAUCAGUCCUGGGUGUUCAUUGGAAGGACUGAUGCUGCAGCUGAAACUCCAAUACUUUGGCCACCUCAUGUGAAGAGUUGACUCAUUGGAAAAGAGCCUGAUGCUGUGAGGGAUUGGGGGCAGGAGGAGAAGGGGACGAUAGAGGAUGAGAUGGCUGGAUGGCAUCACUGACUCGAUGGACAUGUGUUUGAGUAGACUCCGGGAGUUGGUGAUGGACAGGGAGUCCUGGCGUGCUGCGGUUCGUGGGGUCUCAAAUAGUUGGACACGACUGAGCAACUGAACUGAAUUGAACUGAUAAUGACUCUUGGGAGCAUGUGUUUCUCAUUUUAGGAGAAGGGUGCUAUCUCGGGGUCAAGGAUGGGGCACCCAAACGGACAACGAGGUUUCUGUGCAGCGAGUGCCAUGCCGGGCUCUGCCAGCAGAUGGUGAUGGAGGAACGGACAAGGCCACCGCGGCCAGAAAGCGCUUUUCCCGCUUUCCUUCCUUUUAUUGAGCACAGGGGCCAGUGACGGUGUGAGGAUGGCCCCGGGUCCGCUCAGCAGCCCUGGCCGACGGUCUAGUACACCUCUAGUGUACUAGACGACGGUCUAGUACCCCACCUUUGGUAGGGUAGGUGGGCGUGAGGGCGGCCCCUGAGAUGCUGAAACUGCGGGUCAUGAUUAGUCAAAUCCAUUCCACCUGCCCGCAUUAAUCAAGGGCCUUGAUUAGAUUUAAUCGAGUCUUUAAAAGACUCACACGUCCUCCAAGCACGAAGCCAGAACCAUAAAAUACGCCCGGGUUGUUCUCUAGGAAGCCGGACUCAGCGGCGUCUAGCUGGAGCUGAGCUGUUAGGACUGGAUGGACCGCUGACCCUCCCACUGGGCGUGGCCGCGAGUCCGCUCCCUGGAAGCUCCGCCCCCAGCUCGCGCGGUGAGCGCAGAGGCGGGGCUCGGGUCCACCGCGCCGACCGCGGUCCCGGCGCCUUGUCCGUCCCUUUCCCCGGGCUCCCCGCGCCCCACACCGCCUGCUGCUUGGUCUUCAUGCCCUGAGCACGCAGCCCGGUGCCCGCGGGGAGGCAGAUUCCAGAGCGCUCUCUGGGCUCCUUGCCUGGUUGCCUUGUGGAUGAACCCGCGCUUUGCCGCGAACCUGGCAUCUCAGUAUCUUGGUCUGCUGUUUGUAGGGGGCGGGGGGAAGGUUCCCCAACAAGAGUAAAACCAUUA
Molecule: long non-coding RNA, 4264 nt
Organism: Dama dama (fallow deer)
Lineage: Eukaryota; Metazoa; Chordata; Mammalia; Artiodactyla; Cervidae
Exons: 2
Source: RefSeq, a predicted model, not a curated record